AACCAAAAAAAAAAAAAACUGUUGGCAGGUCCUAAAGUUAAUGAUCUUGUGAGACAGGCAGUAGUGACAACAACAACAGGAACAAAACUUGGUCGUGCAACAUCUUGUGGAUAACUAUUAUGGUUAUUUGAAGAAAUUCAACCCAAUGGUGAUGUGAUUAUAAAAUACAUACAUGAAAUACUGGUUUUCAACUUGGAGGAAUUGCCUUGAAGAGGCAGAUAAUUUUUCACAUUAUAUGGCCAUGAGCGCAUAGGCAGUUGAAAAGUUUCAUUAGUUGGAGCUUUCAACAAUAUGCUAGUUCUCUGUGAAUCUUCAUUUUCUGGGCAGCCAGUUGUGAUGCUAUAUUUAGAUGCACCAAACUGAAGUGAUAAUUUUUUUUGCCUUUCCUGUCCUAAGUACUGGCUACUGCUUUUCAUGUUUUACCAUAAAAUGUAUUUGCUUUCAUUGCAUGUAUAUCAAGUUCUGAGGCUUAUCAAAAGUGAUUGAAGUAGGCUUCCAGUGGCAAAGAAGCUAUGCUUUCAUCGGGUUCUGUUUUGAGUGAUGAACUGUGGUUGCAUGUAAAUGAGCAUUUGUAGUUUUAACCUUAUAUAAUAAACCUUAAGCUGUUAUGCAUAGUUUUAAAAUCCCACAGAAGGUUAUAGUGGGUUUUUGGCUCAGAUUCUCAGGUUUCAUUCUUUGAAACUUUUUAAUUGUAACUUAUCAUUGUAUAAUUUUGCUUUCAAAUUAUUUGCAGAUCCUUCCAGCACUACCGUACUAUCUUGCAAAGCAUGACCAGGAAACAGUGGGAUCUACUGGCAUAAACUCUUUAAGAAUGCUUGCACUCCUUGGGGCUGGUAUUACAGGGAUUUUGAGUUGUGCCACUGUAGCUGCUUGUUCUGAUGAGGCAGAACACGGCUUGGAAUGCCCUAACUAUCCAUGGCCUCACAAAGGCAUACUCAGUUCAUAUGACCAUGCUUCGUGAGUACUGAGUAGUAUGAUUUUACCAUCUUUUGCCAUAGAAAUUAUGUUUGGGCUCACUAUUCCACUUAAUGCUUAACGGCUUUAACUUCAGUCAAGUCAUAUGCAUAAAUGUCUUUUCCACGACUACUGGUUGUCCUUCUUUUGUUUACAUAUGCCUACAAUGCCUUCAAUGUGAACCGUGAUACUGACCUACUAUUUCUAGAAUACAUGUGAUUUUUCUAUAAACUUGGGACAUUUUUUUCUGCUCUUAAUUUCUAUUUUUUAACGGAGGGAAAAAAAUCUUGAACCUGGUUUGGAUUUCCUGUUCUGUUUUUACUUUCUUUUAUUGUUUGCUGGCAUUGGUUUCAUAUCCACAGUAGUAGAAAGGCCUUAUCCAAAUAAUUUGGGAUAUUAAAUUUUUUGCCCCAGAACAUAGAUUUGUUGCUGUUUGUAGAUAAAAUUGAAGUGGUUAAUGGGGUAAUUUUCAUGGCAGGAUCCGCCGUGGCCACCAAGUUUA
Molecule: unclassified non-coding RNA, 1456 nt
Filed under: Hevea brasiliensis (rubber tree)
Lineage: Eukaryota; Viridiplantae; Streptophyta; Magnoliopsida; Malpighiales; Euphorbiaceae
Source: RNAcentral